UUGAAUAGGGAAGAACAAGGUGCCGUUCAAAUAGGGCGGCACCUUGACGGUACCUAACCAGAAAGCCACGGCUAACUACGUGCCAGCAGCCGCGGUAAUACGUAGGUGGCAAGCGUUGUCCGGAAUUAUUGGGCGUAAAGGGCUCGCAGGACGGUUGUCUUAAGUCUGAUGUGAAAGCCCCCGGCUCAACCGGGGAGGGUCAUUGGAAACUGGGGAACUAUGAGUGCAGAAGAGGAGAGUGGAAUUCCACGUGUAGCGGUGAAAUGCGUAGAGAUGUGGAGGAACACCAAGUGGCGAAGGCGACUCUCUGGUCUGUAACUGACGCUGAGGAGCGAAAGCGUGGGGAGCGAACAGGAUUAGAUUACCCUGGUAGUCCACGCCGUAAACGAUGAGUGCUAAGUGUUAGGGGGUUUCCGCCCCUUAGUGCUGCAAGCUAACGCAUUAAGCACUCCGCCUGGGGAGUACGGUCGCAAGACUGAAACUCAAAGGAAUUGACGGGGGCCCGCACAAGCGGUGGAGCAUGUGGUUUAAUUCGAAGCAACGCGAAGAACCUUAACCAGGUCUUGACAUCCUCUGACAAUCCUAGAGAUAGGACGUCCCCUUCGGGGCAGAGUGACAGGUGGUGCAUGGUUGUCGUCAGCUCGUGUCGUGAGAUGUUGGGUUAAGUCCCGCAACGAGCGCAACCCUUGAUCUUAGUUGCCAGCAUUCAGUUGGGCACUCUAAGGUGACUGCCGGUGACAAACCGGAGGAAGGUGGGGAUGACGUCAAAUCAUCAUGCCCCUUAUGACCUGGGCUACACACGU
Molecule: ribosomal RNA, 803 nt
Filed under: Bacillus subtilis
Lineage: Bacteria; Bacillati; Bacillota; Bacilli; Caryophanales; Bacillaceae
Description: bacterial SSU rRNA
Rfam family: Bacterial small subunit ribosomal RNA
Source: RNAcentral